GAUGAACGCUGGCGGUAUGCUUAACACAUGCAAGUCGAACGGACUCUUCGGAGUUAGUGGCGGACGGGUGAGUAACGCGUGAGAAUCUGGCUUUGGGUUCGGGACAACCACUGGAAACGGUGGCUAAUACCGGAUGUGCCGAGAGGUAAAAGAGAAAUUGCCUGAAGAUGAGCUCGCGUCUGAUUAGCUAGUUGGUGAGGUAAAGGCCCACCAAGGCAGCGAUCAGUAGCUGGUCUGAGAGGAUGACCAGCCACACUGGGACUGAGACACGGCCCAGACUCCUGCGGGAGGCAGCAGUGGGGAAUUGUCCGCAAUGGGCGAAAGCCUGACGGAGCAAUACCGCGUGAGAGAAGAAGGCUCUUGGGGUGUAAACCUCUUUUCUUAGGGAAGAACAAAAUGACGGUACCUAAGGAAUCAGCAUCGGCUAACUCCGUG
This 435-nucleotide ribosomal RNA is filed under the name uncultured bacterium. RNAcentral describes it as "partial 16S ribosomal RNA". It matches the Rfam family "Bacterial small subunit ribosomal RNA", at positions 28 to 507 of the family's 1533-position model. The record is from RNAcentral.